AGCAGCCGCGGUAAUUCCAGCUCCAAUAGCGUAUAUUAAAGUUGUUGCAGUUAAAAAGCUCGUAGUUGAAUUUCGAGACCGGUUUAUUGGUCGUGCUUUUGUACGUACUGGUAUUAUUGGUUUCUCCUUUCUGACGAACUAUAAUGCCAUUAAUUUGGUGUUAUGGGGAAUCAGGACUGUUACUUUGAAAAAAUUAGAGUGUUUAAAGCAGGCUCACGCUUGAAUACAUUAGCAUGGAAUAACGGAAUAGGACGUUUGAUUCUAUUUUGUGGUUUCUAGGAUCGACGUAAUGAUUAAUAGGGAUAGUUGGGGGCAUUAGUAUUCAAUUGUCAGAGGUGAAAUUCUUGGAUUUAUUGAAGACUAACUACUGCGAAAGCAUUUGCCAAGGAUGUUUUCAUUAAUCAAGAACGAAAGUUAGGGGAUCGAAGACGAUCAGAUACCGUCGUAGCCUUAACCAUAAACUAUGCCGACUAGGGAUCGGGAUGAUGUUAAUUUUUAAUGACUCAUUCGGCGCCUUACG
This 520-nucleotide unclassified non-coding RNA is filed under the name uncultured Glomus. RNAcentral describes it as "SSU rRNA". It matches the Rfam family "Eukaryotic small subunit ribosomal RNA", at positions 569 to 1092 of the family's 1831-position model. Lineage: Eukaryota; Fungi; Glomeromycota; Glomeromycetes; Glomerales; Glomeraceae. The record is from RNAcentral.